UACGUAGGGUGCGAGCGUUGUCCGGAAUUAUUGGGCGUAAAGGGCUCGUAGGCGGUUUGUCGCGUCGGGAGUGAAAACCUCGGGCUUAACUCGGGGCUUGCUUUCGAUACGGGCAGACUGGAGGUAUGCAGGGGAGAACGGAAUUCCUGGUGUAGCGGUGAAAUGCGCAGAUAUCAGGAGGAACACCGGUGGCGAAGGCGGAUCUCUGGGCCUUACCUGACGCUGAGGCGCGAAAGCUAGGGGAGCAAACAGG
RNAcentral lists this ribosomal RNA (253 nucleotides) under uncultured bacterium. RNAcentral describes it as "partial 16S ribosomal RNA". It matches the Rfam family "Bacterial small subunit ribosomal RNA", at positions 524 to 776 of the family's 1533-position model. The record is from RNAcentral.